Molecule: small nuclear RNA, 107 nt
Organism: Mastomys coucha (southern multimammate mouse)
Lineage: Eukaryota; Metazoa; Chordata; Mammalia; Rodentia; Muridae
Source: RefSeq, a predicted model, not a curated record
GUGCUUCCUUCAGCAGCACAAAUACUAAAACUGGAAAGACACUGAGAAAAUUAGCUUUGCCCUUCUGCACAGAUGACAUGAAAGUUCACGAAGAAUUCUAUGUUUCU